RNAcentral lists this ribosomal RNA (506 nucleotides) under uncultured bacterium. Its description in RNAcentral is "partial 16S ribosomal RNA". It matches the Rfam family "Bacterial small subunit ribosomal RNA", at positions 29 to 523 of the family's 1533-position model. The record is from RNAcentral.
AGUGAACGCUGGCGGUAGGCCUAACACAUGCAAGUCGAACGGCAGCACAGGAGAGCUUGCUCUCUGGGUGGCGAGUGGCGGACGGGUGAGGAAUACAUCGGAAUCUACUCUGUCGUGGGGGAUAACGUAGGGAAACUUACGCUAAUACCGCAUACGACCUACGGGUGAAAGCAGGGGAUCUUCGGACCUUGCGCGAUUGAAUGAGCCGAUGUCGGAUUAGCUAGUUGGCGGGGUAAAGGCCCACCAAGGCGACGAUCCGUAGCUGGUCUGAGAGGAUGAUCAGCGACGCUGUAACUGAGAAACGGUCCAGACUCCUACGGGAGGAAGCAGUGGGGAAUAUUGGACAAUGGGCGCAAGCCUGUUCCAGCCAUACCGCGUGGGUGAAGAAGGCCUUCGGGUUGUAAAGCCCUUUUGUUGGGAAAGAAAUCCAGCUGGCUAAUACCCGGUUGGGAUGACGGUACCCAAAGAAUAAGCACCGGCUAACUUCGUGCCAGCCGCCGCGGUAA